Molecule: ribosomal RNA, 520 nt
Filed under: Niphe subferruginea
Lineage: Eukaryota; Metazoa; Arthropoda; Insecta; Hemiptera; Pentatomidae
Description: partial large subunit ribosomal RNA
Rfam family: Archaeal large subunit ribosomal RNA
Source: RNAcentral
CAUGUCUUAAUGUUAAAUUUUUAUUAAGUCUGUCCUGCUCAAUGAUUUUUAAUUAAAUAGCCGCAGUAUUUUGACUGUGCGAAGGUAGCAUAAUCAUUUGUCUUUUAAUUGAAGGCUUGUAUGAAUGGUCGGAUGAGGGAGCUGCUUUCUUUAUAUUAUUUAUUGAAUUUAAUUUUUUAGUUAAAAAGCUUAAAUUUUUAAAUAGGACGAGAAGACCCUAUAGAAUUUGAUUUUAUCUUUAUAAAUUUGAUUUUUGGUUAACUAAUCUGUUUAUUUAUAUAGAAUUUUGUUGGGGCGACAAUGAGAUUUUUUUAACUCUCAUAAUUUAUUUUUUAUUAAUAUAUAUAUAUAUGAUCCCGUUUUAAGGAUAUAUAGAUUAAAUUACCUUAGGGAUAACAGCGUAAUUUUUCUGGAGAGUUCUUAUCGAUGGAAGAGUUUGCGACCUCGAUGUUGGAUUAAAAUUAGAUUUAAGUGCAGAAGCUUAAUUUUCUAGGUCUGUUCGACCUUUAAAUUUUUACAU